RNAcentral lists this unclassified non-coding RNA (288 nucleotides) under Hevea brasiliensis (rubber tree). Lineage: Eukaryota; Viridiplantae; Streptophyta; Magnoliopsida; Malpighiales; Euphorbiaceae. The record is from RNAcentral.
GCCCAGACACAAUGAACCUACAAGAAGAAAGGGCAAUUGUUAUCAGAGAUCUUUUUGUCAUAAGUACAAGUAUUUACAUAAAAGCAAAUGAACAAAACUCAUGUUUCUUUCAGGAAAAACAAAAACAGCAAGUACAAGCGAAAUAAAAUUUAAGUUGCAAAUUUCCCGGGGAAUACAAUUAACUGCUUCAACUAAAUGUAUGCCAGUAUCUGGAGGCACUAGGGACACUUCAGGAUGAUCCAUUCAAGAGAAUGAAUGUACACAAAAUUGCUUAUUGCCAAAUGUUCA